ACACUUGCGUAAAAAUGCACACCCUUAGCUGAGGCAGUAAAUGUAUAUCAGAACUGACCAGAUGAACACAUUUCUCACAUCUUGGCACUAAAUGUAUAUCACAACUGACCAGAUAAACACAUUUCUCACAUCUCGAUGAGAUUCCUAACCAUUAAAAAAUGUCUGAAUAUGAAGCAAAAUGAGGUUUAUCACACUUGCAUAAAAAUGCACACCCU
This is a long non-coding RNA of Dermacentor silvarum, 215 nucleotides long. RefSeq lists it as uncharacterized. Lineage: Eukaryota; Metazoa; Arthropoda; Arachnida; Ixodida; Ixodidae. The transcript is spliced from 3 exons. The record is from RefSeq and is a predicted model, not a curated record.